Molecule: ribosomal RNA, 563 nt
Filed under: uncultured Sebacina
Lineage: Eukaryota; Fungi; Basidiomycota; Agaricomycetes; Sebacinales; Sebacinaceae
Description: eukaryotic LSU rRNA
Rfam family: 5.8S ribosomal RNA (bases 186-339)
Source: RNAcentral
CAUUAUUGAUUGUAGCUGUUGCCUUCUGUGCUGGCUGGCUCUUGCAUCAAGUGCACGUCGGUGACUUUCAUUCCAAUACCCUUGUGAACCCUUGGCCUCUUGCUAGCUUCACGGCUGGCAUAGGAUUUUCUACAUACACACUCGAAUGUAAUGAAACUCUUGUUGUGCACAAACACUACUAAUACAACUUUCAACAACGGAUCUCUUGGCUCUCGCAUCGAUGAAGAACGCAGCGAAAUGCGAUAAGUAAUGUGAAUUGCAGAAUUCAGUGAAUCAUCGAAUCUUUGAACGCACCUUGGACCCUUUGGAAUUCUGAAGGGUAUGCUCGUUUGAGUGUCAUUGUACUCUCACACUUCCGAUCUUUGUAUUGGGAGAGGUGGACUUGGGUUUGCUGCUUCACCGCGGCUUACCUCAAAUACGGUAGUGCAACUCUUGGUUGGACAUAUUACUGCGUGAUAAGUGGUUCUUCGCCGGUGCCUCGCAAAGAGGGUGGCCGAUCUGGAGGUUGUGCUCCAAACCGUCUUCGGACAAUCUCUGACAACUUGACCUCAAAUCGAGUAGGA